UACGUAGGGGGCAAGCGUUGUCCGGGUUUAUUGGGCGUAAAGAGCGUGUAGGCGGCUAGAUAGGUCCGUUGUGAAAACUCGAGGCUCAACCUCGAGACGUCGAUGGAAACCAUCUGGCUAGAGUCCGGAAGAGGAGAGUGGAAUUCCUGGUGUAGCGGUGAAAUGCGCAGAUAUCAGGAAGAACACCCGUGGCGAAGGCGGCUCUCUGGUACGUGACUGACGCUGAGACGCGAAAGCGUGGGGAGCAAACAGG
This 253-nucleotide ribosomal RNA is filed under the name uncultured bacterium. RNAcentral's name for it is "partial 16S ribosomal RNA". It matches the Rfam family "Bacterial small subunit ribosomal RNA", at positions 524 to 776 of the family's 1533-position model. The record is from RNAcentral.